RNAcentral lists this unclassified non-coding RNA (604 nucleotides) under Sclerolaena medicaginoides. RNAcentral's name for it is "partial external transcribed spacer". The record is from RNAcentral. Lineage: Eukaryota; Viridiplantae; Streptophyta; Magnoliopsida; Caryophyllales; Amaranthaceae.
UGACUACUGGCAGGAUCAACCAGGUAGCACUCCUCGAUCGACAUCAGCACGCAUGAGCCCUUCCGAAUUACAAAAGGGUCAACUCGUGCUUAAUUGUCGUCCGUGCUUAGCGUAAAACGCUACAUUGGGUGUGCAACACAAUCGUGUCCACUCCCACUCAACAUUCCGCAUCCCAGGGCACAACCAAGGACCAUUACCCUUUCUGAAGUGCUUGAUUUAGCAUAUUCAGUGGCUAACGGACUUGAUUUUGUAGGUUCACCAGACACCCCCCUAAGGAUGUAGGGCGAAGAACAUAACUUCCAAGGCAACCAAUACCAUCAAUAGGAAUUCAACACAGGAAACCACAUGUUGCCCAAGGCUAAUUGCACUUGAGCAAACAAUGAAGAGGUAUGCUAGCAAAAGCAAAGAGCCCGCCAACCACACAAACCAAAUACCACUCAUACGCUUCCCGUACCGCUUUGCUUCGACCAACCCAUGAACCAUGACGAUAAAUUAAAUUUUUCGACAUGGCCCAAAGUGACCUCCGCUAGCACCGUUAGGCGUGAAAGAAACAUCCUAGGGACAAAGCCCUCACCCCGAAGGGAUCAUUGAGCAACCUAACAAU